RNAcentral lists this long non-coding RNA (21225 nucleotides) under Theobroma cacao (cacao). RNAcentral's name for it is "long non-coding RNA (TCAC_LNC002477)". The record is from RNAcentral. Lineage: Eukaryota; Viridiplantae; Streptophyta; Magnoliopsida; Malvales; Malvaceae.
CUUGCUGUAGAUCUCUGUGCGUUGCUCAUUAACCCAAAUCUCCUUUCUUGUGAGGAGACCAAAGGCUUGUUGCGCCUCUUCAAGCUACCUGGGUUCCCCUUGUUUUGCCGAGCGUAGAGUCCUGUUGCUGUCGAUCUACGUGCGUUGCUCACUUUCCCUAAAUCUCCCUUGUUGGGUCGAGAGCAGAGGGUUGUUGCUGCCAAUCUCCAUGCGUUGCUCAGUUUCUCAAAAUCUUUGUACUUUGCAUCCACCUCUUGUGCUGAGAGCUGAGCCUAUUUGCUGCUAAUCUUGGACCGGAUCUUUGGUGAGUUCUUGCUGCACUUUUUCUGGGAUUUUUUGUAGCACUUGAAACUUGGUAAAUGCAAUGGCUUGAGUGCUUAAGGCUGGUUCUGGAAUUUUUGAUUUGUACUGUUUUGGAAAAUUUUUACACUGCAACAUGUUUUCCAACGUAUGAUUCACACUUGGUUAACUAUUGUUUCUUAUGAUUUUUUUCCUCAAUUAACACCUCAUAAAUCUUUUUUUCUUUCAAUUAAGUACCUUAUGAAUAACUUUUACUUUCAAAAGAAUUAAACUGUUAAUUUCACUAGCAUUAUCGAAAUAGCCUCAAUUCAUAGGAACCUAAAAAAGCAUGUGUAGGUUACUUUAUGCAAGCCUUAUCGAAACAUCUGAUUUUGUACCAGACUUACCUGCACUAUACUACCAACUGGAUAGUUUUUGUAUACUUUUAACAUGAAAUAAAUUUUGGCUUUGCUUUUUAAAUAAAAUUAAAACAUCAAUUCAAAAUUAAUUUAGAUGUUUAUAUAUAAAGUUAUUUUUUUGUUAUUUUAUUAAAUAAAUUAAACAACUUAUCCCUUUAUUGAAACUUAGAUAAUCAAUUUUUUCAUUGGAGAAUUCAAGUUGCAAGAUGCUGACAGGAACCAAUGCUAGAACAUGUCUCUGAUGAACUCGAUCAAAACAGUGAUUGGCAUUUGUCUUGCAUGCUUCAAGCAUGAGUUAACACAUUCCGCAAUGUUGGAUGUCAUUGUUGGCUCUAUUAGUUUUUGAUGAUAAUAAAACAUUUUCAUUUAUGUGUGUCUAAUACCUUUACUUGAGUGUGCAGGAAAGUAAUUUGUGAAAUUAAUUUAUCGACUCUUCAAAGAGUAUUUUGGAAAAAAAAAAGGGAUAAAAUCAACAAGAUGUAACUAAAUAAUAAAGAGGAAGCUUAUUGGUGAAACAACGAAGAACAUUGGUUGACUAAAUUUUAAAUUGGAGAAAUGACGAGCUCAAGAGUUAGAGAAACAGAAUCAAUUUAGUUAACCAAGUUAGUCGACUAAGUGCUCUCUAUCAGAAUCUGCAAACCAGAAACAGAAUCAACUUAGUCAACCAAGUUAGUCGACUAAGAGCUAUCUGUUUGCCAUUUGAAUCAGAGCACUACAAGACAAAUUAACGGUUAGAACUCAUCCUCAACUGUUUCCAACAUAUAUAAACUGUCAAACUGCCAUCAGAGUUGCAUCUCCAAGUAUAAAAGGGUCUUCCAACAAUAAGAAAGAAGUUUUUUGAAGCCUUGAAUGAGUUUUGAGCUAUAAAAAGAAGAAAAAUCAGAAAAGCUUCACUGCACUUGUCUGCACUUAAACGCUUACUCUUUGCAUUUGUAUUUAGCACUCAAUCUUGUACCAAUCUAAUCAAGAAGUGAUCAUAGAUACUUUCUUUUACUACUUCUCUUGUAUUCUUAGAGUGAAGGAGUUAUUCUAAGGGGUUGUUCAAGCUUGGGAUAGCUUGAUUGUUAAAGGUUGUGGUUGAGUUUUGGAAAAUCACAUUGGGUUUUAGUUGAGCUCAUGAAAAACUACUAUAAAAGGUUUUUGGCUGAGCCUGGUAAAAGUCAUUAUAAAGCUUGGUGAAAGCUUGUGAAUUUCACCGGUCCAUAAUGGAUUUAUGGGAAAAUCCUUAGUUGGAUAAUCAAGGUAGUGGAUGUAGGUCUUGGAUCGAACCAUUAUAAAUUGUUGUGCAUUGUAUACUUUGUUUUUAUUUUCUUAUUUUGGAAAUUUGUUUCCAAUCUUGUCAAGAGCCGAUUUGUGCUAUUCACCCCCCCUUUGGCACAUAUUAUAGAGACCAACAAUUGGUAUCAAAGUUAGUUCCUUGUUUUUAAGGCUUAACAACCUUUGGGAGGAUCCAAAUGGCUCAACAAAAAAUCAUAGUUGUUGAGGGACAAUCAACAAACAGACCACCUUUGUUUGAUGGCUCUAAUUACCUCUAUUGGAGCACUAGAAUGUCAAUUUAUAUUAGGGCUAUAAAUUAUGAAAUGUGGGAUGUCAUAACUGAUGGACCCUUUAUGCCCUCAACCGUGAAUGUAGUUAUAAAUGAGUUGAUGCCCAAGCUAAGGUUUGAAUGGACUGAGGCUGAAACUAAGAAAGUUCAAAUAAAUUUUAAGGCCAUCAACACAUUACAUUGUGCCUUAACCCCCACUGAAUUUAACAAAGUUUCAAGUUGUACAAUAGCUAAACAAGUGUGGGAGAAACUUAGGAUAAUCCAUGAAGGGACUUCCCAAGUCAAAGAGUCCCAAAUUGCUUUCUUAACACAUAGUUAUGAAAUGUUCAAAAUGAAGCAUGGUGAAGACAUCACCAGCAUGUUUUUCUUACUCAUGAGCUGGAGCUUAAGGAAGAAGAAAAAGAAGACUGAAUGGAAGCAAAGGAAAAGAAAAAGAGUAUUGCAUUUAAAGCCAGCAUUCUUGAAGAAGAGCUAGAAGAGCUUUCCUAUGAUGAUGAUGAAGAAUUAGCUCUAGUUGCAAGGAAAUUCAGAAAGCUAAUGAGCAGAAGAAAUCAAAGGGUAACUAGAAGAGGUUUCAAGAAAGACCAAGAUGCUUCAUGGAAAAUAAGGAACAAAAAUGACUCUAACAAAAAGGAAGAGAUGAUCUACUACGAAUGCAAGAAACCUGGUCACUUCAAGUCCGAGUGUCCAUUGUUAAAAGAUGAAACCCCUUAGAAAAAUAAGAAAUCCAAGAAAGCAAUGGUGGUUGCUGCAUGGUCGGACAAUGACACAUCAAGCUCUGAAACUGAUGAUGAAAAAUCUGAGGAAAGAGCAAACAUCUGUUUAAUGGCACAAGAGGAUGAAACAGAGGUACCCUCAUCCCCCUACAUUAAUUCUUAUGAUGAUUUACAAGAUGAGUAUGAGUGUUUUUAUGAUGAAUUUGAAAAGCUUUUUUCAAAAUAUAAAUCAUUAAAGAAAAAGGCUACAUUUUUUGAAAAUGAUUUGGAGCAAAUCAAACAAGAGUUUACUUCUGUUCUUGAGCAAAGAAAUAUUUUACAAAUUGAGUUAGAACACUCAAAAACAGACUUUGAGGUUUUAAAACUAGAGCUGGAAAACAAGUCUAAAGCUUUGCAAAUAACUCUUGAUGAAAAUACAGCUUUUAAAUAUUUAAAAAAUGAAUCCUCAAAAAGAGAUGUAUAUCGGGAUAAAAAUUUAGCUAAAGCAUUACCUAGAUGUUAUAUGUAAAACCCGACUCUAUAAACACAUGUCAUGACAUACAUGCACUGAGUAGCAUGUUAUUACGCUAGGAAAGUUCCUAAGAAUAAAUGAAAUUCGGUAUUGUACCUAACGAUACACUUGAGUUGAUUUAACCUCGAACUAGUUCAAAUAGGAAUCGUAGGAUGAAAUUUAAUAUUUUAUAGUCAAGGAAUGACUAAAAAUGAUUGUUCGGAGUUCGAGGGUUCAUUAGGGGUAAAAUUGAAAAUUUUGAUGUUUAGGGGUAAAAUCAUUUUGCCACUUAAGAUAAUAAUUUGAUAAUGGAGUGAAAUUUUUGACCAAGAUUAACUAUUUGGAGUAUAAUUUAAUGAUAGGAAGUAAAAAAGUUUAAUUCUGGUGAUUUUUGGAGUGUAGGGGUAAAAUUGUAAUUUUACCACUUGCGGACAAAAUUUGAGAUUUUGAGAGAAUUUAGAUCAAAUUUGACAAUUGGAGAAUGGUAUGAGUAUAAAAGAUGAAAAAUAUGUCUGGGUAAUUUUUCAGUUUUUUGAGUAAAAAUAUAAUUUUUCACUUUUACGAGGGCAAAAGUGUAAAUUUCAAAAAUUACUCCACCGAGACUUUGGAUAAGUCUGAGAAUUUUAUCUAAGCUAUGGAUAUAUGAGACAAGUGUAUGGUGAAAAUUUGAAAACAAAUGGAUGAAAUUUUAAAAAUGGGCCAAUGAGAAAGUGACACGUGGUAUUUUUUUAAUAAUAUAAUAUUAUUUUAAUGAAAAAUUAGCCCAUUUAAACCCCAUUUUAAGUGUUGGCUGGCCAUAAGGGAGAACAAGAGAGAAAAUAGAGGAAAGGAAGAAAAAAAGAAAAACCAAAGAGAAACAAGAAAAUUCAAAGGGAAAUUCGUAUUUUUUGCCAGUUUACGCGUUUAACGGUAAGAUUUGUCGACUUUAGCUUGAUUCCUACCUUUUUUAUGCUUUUGUUUCCAUUUAGCAUGCUUGAGGAGAGAGAUCUAAAGGUGACAUCAAGGGCUGUACGAAAUUCUAAGGAUGAGAUUUUGAAAUUUUUAAGUUUUGAUUUUUAGUUAAAUUGGUAGUUUCAGUUAGUUAAAUGUGUUUAAAAAUUAAAUUGGGCAAGAAAGCAUUAAAUUUUCACAAUACCCACCCUUGGCCGAAUCUGCAAUGAGGUACAAUAAUGAUGAUCUGAUUUUUAUUCUAAGAAAAAUGAAGAGAAAAUGAUGAAAAAUGGUUAAAUGUGAUAGAAAAAUAAAGUAAAAAAUUUAUCGAGUUAAUGUCCCAUUUUUGGCUGAAUUUUUCAAGGAGGACAGUGAACUGAUUUUGGUGAUUUUAGAAGGUUAUUGGCUGAUAUUUAAUGGUUAGAAAUGUUGGAGAGAGAAUGGAAUGAUUUAGAGGUAAAAUGUAACGCGUUAGCAAUUUAUUGGGUAAAGUGCCAAAAAUAGGUUAAUAUCACGUUUAAGCAAUUUUUGGCUAUUGCAUUUCAUACCAUGCAUUAGUAUAGGAUUUAAGUCAAAUAUAUAGUGUUUUAGCAUUAAUGUGAUGAAUUGAGUAAAUUUUUGCAAUGUGUCUAGGAGGAGAGCCUUCCGGUAAAGGCAAGAAAAUCAUACCCGAAUAGUUAUCGGGCACCUAAAAAGUAAUUAGUUUGUACAAACGGUGAGUAAAUCUAUUAUUAUUGUGAAUUAUCUAGAGUUAUUUUAAAAAUGCUCUUUAUGUAUUUUAUGAAACGAAAAUGAGAUUAAAACAAGAUUUUUGAUAUUUUAGAAAUAAAUGUGACAAAAAAAAAAUAUUGUGUUGAUUAUGAAAUUAAGUAAUUGGAGGUUGUUAACUGUCUUGAAAAUUAUAUAUUUUUCUAUGAAUGGCUUAUGAGAUAUAAAUAUAUGUGGCUAUAUUUUGUAAGUGCAUUGAAAAAUUUAUGUAAGCUAUUUUUACUAUGCAGGCUGGAUAAAUAAAUAAAAGUCACGUUAUAUUGUCAAAAUUUUAUUAAAAUUGGUGGGUUAGACACUGCAGUGACGGGUUUUCAUGGAUUGUCUAUUAGAGGGGUACGGUAAACUCUGUUAUAUAGUUACUCCAGUUGUAGAGGCAAGGAGGGUAACUCCCGAGGUAGUAUUAGAGCUCACUUCACGUCGAAUCCCCACGUGAAUGUGUAACUCGGCCAACGUCAGGGAAUGACUUGUUUUAAAAAUAAAAAUGUGUUUAACAUGUAAAUGUUAUAACAACCUUGGCUGAUUCAGUUAGAUGCCUCGGUCAAGGUAUUUCCGAAGAUUAGUUUUGGCUUGAGCCUUGUUUUCUUUUAUAAAAGACAUAAGCCUUAAUAACUGUUUUUGUAAAUUACAAAUAUUUUAUGAUUUAAGAAAUAAAUUGAAAACAUUAUGAAAUGGUUUGUGAUUUGUUGUUUAAACUUGCUUCCCUGUUACUCGCCUUUAAAUAUUUAUGAUAAUGUCUGUUUACUCAUUGGGAUUGCAAAAUCUCACCCACCUCCUUUCCAAAUAUUUCAGGCCUGUGGUAGCUUGUAGAUACCCGAUUUUGUCGAGGAUUUCAGUUGAUCCCUCUAUCACACAGACAGUAGGUUACUAUCGCCAACACUUACUGUAUUUAUGGGUCACUUGUCAUUGUAAUUAUUAUUGUACAUUAUAACUUUGUAAAUUAUUGUAUGUAUGAAUUUAUUUUACUUCUAAGUUACAAAAGAUUACUUACACGUGUUUCUAUAAAUAUUGUUUUAUAUAAAAAUGCUAUAUUUUUUUCUUUGAUUUACUUGAGUCGGAAACGAUUGAAAAUUGUUUAAAACUGAUAUGUAAGCCUUGCGGGGUUCCGAUUGGUAUUUCGAGUAUUGAGUAUCAAUCAGGACGUCGUGGCGGUUGUCAUGGGCCCGAGGGAGGUUUCGGGUCAUGACAUUAUAAUUAUGGUAAACAUGGUCAUUUAUCAUAUGAGUAUUUUAAGAAAAGAACAGAGCAGAAAGUUAAGAAAUGUGGGUUGCUAAGGGAUCCUUUAUUGCUACUAACACUCAAGGACCCAUCAAAGUAUGAGUACCUACAAAGAAAAAUUGAAAUUCUGUUUUGUAGGUUGAGUUGAACUUAAAAGAGACAUGUUCAAAAGCUCAACUAAAAAAAAAACAGUCUUGGUACUUGGAGAGUGGCUGUUCACGGCACAUGACAGGACAUAAAAUGCUGUUUGCUCAACUAGAUAAGAGAAAGGGAGGAACCGUAUCCUUUAGAGAUGAUUCAAAAGGAAGAAUUCAUGGUAUAGGUACGAUUGGUAAGAAUUUCCAAACUCAAAUUAGUCAUGUGUUGCUGGUUAAAGGCUUAAAGCAUAAUUUACUAAGUAUUAGUCAAUUAUGUGAUAAAGGAUUUAGAGUGUGCUUUAAUUCAACUAAGUGUGAAGUGAUAGACAUGGGUACAAAUAAAAUCUCAUUUAUAGGAAAUAGAUUGAAGAAUAUGAAUGUAAUUUUUCUUGAAGAUCUUGAAGUAAAUAGUGAAGUAUGUCUUAUUGCAAAUGUUGAAAAUGAUAGUUGGCUAUGGCAUAACAGAUUACAUGUGAGCAUGAAUACUAUGUCAAAAUUAAUUAAGAAAAAUCUUGUUAUUGGACUGCCUGAGUUAAAAUUUGAAAAUGAUAAGAUAUGUGAUGCUUGCCAACUAGGAAAACAAGUUAGGACAUCCUUCAAGUCUAAGAAAAUUGUGUCAACAUCUAGACUUCUUGAAUUGCUUCAUAUUGAUCUAUUUGGUCCAAUAAGCACAACUAGCUUAGGAGAAAAAUCUUAUAGCUUUGUUAUAAUUGAUGACUAUUCUAAAUAUGCUUGGGUGUAUUUUCUUGCUUAUAAGAAUGAUGCUCUACAAGCAUUCUUAAGUCAUUGUAAGAAAGUAGAAAAUGAAAAAAGACUUGCCAUAGUUAGCAUAAGAAGUGAUCAUGGAGGAGAAUUUGAAAAUGAUGAGUUUGAAAAGUUUUGCAAUGAAAAGGGGUUGGAUCACAAUUUUUUUGCACCUAGAAUACCCCAGCAAAAUGGAGUUGUAGAGAGGAAAAAUCGAACCUUGAAAGAAAUGGCUAGGAUCAUGCUAUGUGAAAACAACCUACCUAAAUAUCUUUGGGUUGAGGCAGUAAAUACAACAGCUUAUAUAUCAAGCCCAACUUUAUAAUAUAUUUUCCAUAUUGUAUAGGUACUUGAUAAAAUGUCUGCAUACUUGAAUGCCUCAAAAAUCGUUAAAAGACGAUAUUGUACCUAAUGGUACAAUUAAGCUGAAUUAAGCCUCAAACUAGUCCAAAUAGAGAUUUUAAGAUGAAAUUGAGAAUUUUAAAACCCCAAAAUGACUUAAUAUGGUGAUUCGGAGUUCGAGGAUUAAUUUGGAGUCAAAUUGGAAUUUUCAUGACGUAGGGGUAAAAUGAUCAUUUUACCACCCAAAGGUAAAAUUGGAAUUUUGCACCACCCAACACUUGUCUUGCCUAAGGAUUUCAUCCAUUAACAUUUUAUAUUAUGGAUAAUUGAGAUAUUUGAUGUGGUAGAGAAAGAAAGCUUAGUUGUUAAGUAUUAAUUAUGGACCGAUGGAAUGGUGACAAGUGGCAAACUUUCAUUUCUUUAUAAUUUACAUUAAAAAUCAGCACAUGAUUUACCCAUUUCACUCCCAUAUGUUUGGCCUCACCAAGGAAAAGAGGAAAGAAAGAAAGAACAAACCCUAGUGAGUAAAAAUUUAAGGAAAAUUAGUGGAUUUCAAAGAAUUAAGCAAGUAAAGGUAAAAUUUAUUGAUUUUAGCUUGUGAUCUACCUUUCCUAUGCAUUCUUUUUCAUUUUCCAUGAUUGAGAAACAAGUUUGCAUGAAGAUACCUUUGCUGGCCGGACAUGGGGGGAGGGGUUUUGAUCUUGGAUUUAGCUAGAUUUCAUGUUAUUCUAGUGUUUUUAGUUGGUAGGUGAUGUGUAGCAUAAAAAGCAAACAAGAAAAUUCAUGUUCUUCCAUCACCCUCAUUGGCUGAAUCUUCCUCAUGGUAUGUUGAUGGUGGAUUUGAUUUUAUUUUAAGUGAUUUGGUUAGGAAUUAAUGAUUUAUAGUGUAAAAAUCAAGCAUGAAAAAUCAUAGUGUUUAUGCACCCACCAUGGCCGAAUUUUCCAAGAGAAAAUGUUGAGGAUGAUUUUGCGAUAAUUUGUUAUCUAGCUUAUAUUUGAUGAUUUGGAGUAUUGGAAGUGAAAUGAAUUUAUUUGGAGUUGAAUUGGAUAUUUUGGCCAAUUAACUUGUGUAUAGUGUGAAUUAGGUUAAUACCAUUUCAGCCCCACACACAAUUGAACCUACGUAGAACACCGUAUUUAGAUAAUAAUCCAAGCAUUUCACAUCCCAUUUCAUGCAUGCAUAUAGAGCCUGAAAUAGAUUUAUAAUGACAUGACACAAUAUAUUGAAUUAUUUGUCAUGUAUUGUGUAUAGGUGGUGAGUCUUCUAACAAGGAUAAAGACAUUGUGCCAGAGGACCAAGAAUAGGAGUAUUUCGAACUCCCGAUAUUGUGAGCAAUCUUAUUAUCGUCUUAAUUAUCUAAAGUAGUUUUUAUUUGUUUUUGUGAUUUUAUAGAAAAAUGAGUUUAAAUGAUUAAAUGAAAUGAGUUUUAUAAAUCAUUUUGAAAUUGAAUGAUGAUUUUAGAAAUUGAGUAAUUGGAGACUGUUUGAUUGUGUUGUAAAUUUAUUGUUUGAAUUGAAUGGCUUAUGGUGAUAUUGGCAUGAAUGGCUGAAUUGAAAAUUGUAUUAAAAUUGUAUGAACUGUUUGUUUUGCCUUAACAGGCUGGGUAGUAAUAUAAUUGCCAUGUUAUGUUGUCGAACUUUUAUUGAUUUGGUGGGAUAUUGAUUAGUCAUUGCAGUGGUGGGUUUUCGUGGACUAGCCUAUUAGAGAGGGGCACGGUAAACUCGAUUAUAUUUGACCUUGGUACGAGAGGCGCGGAGGGUAUCUCCUGAGGUAAAACUUUAGAGUUCACUACACGCUAAACCACCACGUAAGGGUGAACUCAGCCAACGCCAAGGAACGAUUGUGCUUUUAAACGUAAAAAUGUGUUUUAUGCGUAUAUGAACUUUUCUUUAACAGCCUUAGCAUACUCGGUUGGAUGCCCCUGCGCAAGGUGUCAUCGAGCACAAGUUUUGGCACGAGUCAAAGUUUUAAGAGAGUCAUAAGCCAUGUUGAUUAUUUGAGUGAAAUGAAUUUAUUUUGUUUAGUUGAAAUGAGUUUGAAACGUUAUGAAUCAUAGUACGGUGAACUAUUUUAUGUUGUCUCAAUUUACUCGACUUUGGAUAUUUUAGAUGAUAUUUGUUUAUUCACUGAGUUUAUAUAAACUCACCACCCUCUUUUUCACCCAUUUCAAGCUCAGGAUAGUCUGUAGAUAGCUGAUUUCGUUGAGGGCUACAGUUGGAUUUGCAUCCUUAAAAAUCAUAAGUUCGCAACCUUCGUUACUUUUGAUCAUUUGGGAGCCCACAUGUCAUUAUAAAUUAAAUUAUACACUCUAACUCACUGUGUUACUGUAUGUAUGAAUUUAUUUUAUUUUUACGCUAUAAAAAUUAUUUGCGGAUACCUGUAUAAAUAUUGUUUUAUAAGAAAAUGAAAUAUUUUAUUUAAUAUUUUUAUUUUAUUCUAAUAGCUAUCAUUUCACUUUAAAUAAAUGUUUUAGACAUCUAAACUUAUUUUUGGCUAUUAAAUAUGUAUCUUUCACUCAUAUACUACAUUUUUAGAUGGUUUUGAAAUUUUUGGAGUAAAAUGACCAAAAUACCCUUGUGAGACGAAAAUUAUUUUUUUAUUGUUUUAGUUUGGAAAUAGCUUAUAAUCUUUUAAAAUAUGAUAUUAGCAACUGUUGCUCGCAGGGGAGGUGAGAAAACUGAUAUUAAACCUUGUGGGGUUUCGGUGGGUAUUCGGGUAAUGAAUGUCUAUCAGGACAUCGCGGUGGUUGUCACGGGCUCGAGGAGAGUACUGGGUCAUGACAUUAUAUUCUUAAUAGAGUCUCAAUAAGACCCUUGAUUUCGAAGACUCCAUAUGAACUUUAUAAAGGUAGGAAACCAAAUAUUUCUCACUUUAGGAGCUUUGGUUGUAAAAGCUUUGUAUUGAACAAUGGAAAACAGCCCCUAGGGAGUUUGAUGCAAAGAGUGAUGAAGCAAUAUUUUUAGGAUAUGCUUUAAACUCAAAGGCCUAUAGAGUUUUUAACAAAAAGACCUUGACUGUUGAAGAAUCAAUUCAUGUAGUUUUUGAUGAGUCAAAUGCAUUGCAAAAAGAAGUUCAUGAUGAUGAUGAUGAUGUAGAAGUCCUAGAAAAACAAAUGGAGGAAAUGAGCUUAGAAAACAACAAAAAUAAUGAAGAAAGCUCACCUAGAAGAGAAGAUGAAACUCCACUUUUGAAAAAUCUGUAAAGAGCAGAAAAUCAGCAUGAUGAUCUACCAAGGAGUUGGAGAUUUGUGAGAGAUCACCCACAAGACCAAAUAAUUGGUGAGAUUUCUCAAGGAGUUAAAAUUAGGAAAUCAACUAGAUAAACUUGUGAGUUUUCAGCUUUUAUAUCUUAAAUUGAACCUAAAAACUUUGAAGAAGCUAAAAAAGAGGAAAGUUGGAUAAUGGCCAUGUAAGAAGAAUUUGAUCAAUUCACAAGGAGUCAUGUAUGGUCAUUGGUACCUAGACCUUCAAAUCACCCUAUUGUUGGUACAAAAUGGGUGUUUAGAAAUAAGGUAGAUGAGCAAGAAAAUGUAGUUAGAAAUAAAGCUAGGUUGGUAACAAAUGGAUGCAACCAAGAAGAAGGAAUAGAUUAUGAUGAAACUUUUGCUCCGGUUGCUAGGAUUGAAGCUAUAAGGUUGUUGCUAGCUUUUACAUGUUUCAUGAAUUUUAAAUUGUUCCAAAUGGAUGUAAAAAGUGCAUUCUUAAAUGGAUUAAUUCAAGAGGAAGUAUAUGUAGAACAACCACCUGGUUUUGAAAACUUUGAAAAAUCUAAUCAUAUUUUCAAACUUCAUAAAGCCUUGUAUGAAUUGAAACAAGCUCCUAGAGCUUGGUAUGAAAGGCUUUCAAAAUUUCUAGUUGAGAAAGGGUAUGAUAGAGGCAGCAUCGAUACUACAUUGUUCAUUAAGAGAUAUCUAAAUAAUUUAAUUGUUGUGCAAAUAUAUGUGGAUGAUAUUGUAUUUGGUGCAACUAAUGAAGCUUUAUGGAAGAAGUUUGCAAAGGAAAUGCAGGGUGAAUUUGAAAUGAGCAUGAUAGGAGAGUUGAAGUACUUCCUUGGUCUUCAAAUCAAACAAAGUGAGGAAGAAAUCUUCAUCAACCAAGAAAGAUACACUCAUGAUAUGCUUAAGAAAUUUGAUAUGCUGAAGCUGAAAUCAAUUUCUACACCAAUGAGUCCAUCCACCAAACUCGACUUAGAUGAAAAAGGUAAGGAUGUAGAUCAAAGCUCUAUAAAAGGUAUGAUCGACUCUCUUCUCUACUUAACAACAAGUAGACCAGAUAUUCAGUUUAGUGUGUGCUUGUGUGCUAGAUUUCAGUCACAACCUAAAGAAUCACACCUAACUGCCAUUAAGAGAAUUUUUAGAUACCUCAUAGACACUCAAGAACUAGAAAUAUGGUACUCUAGAGACUCAACUCUUAACUUAGUUGGAUAUUCAGAUGCUGACUUUGCUGGUAGUAGAACUGAUAGGAAGAGCACUAGUGGAACAUGCCAAUUUUUAAGAAGGAUGCUUGUGUCUUGGUCCAGCAAAAAGCAAAACUUAGUGGCACUGUCUACAGCAGAGGCUGAAUAUGUAUCAUUAGGAAGCUGCUGUGCACAAAUCCUUUGGAUCAAGCAACAAUUAAAAUACUAUGGAAUAACAAUGCAUAAUGUACCAAUUUACUGUGAUAACACAAGUGCAAUCAAUAUAUCAAAAAAUCCUAUGCAGCACUCUAGGACAAAACACAUUGAGAUUAGACACCAUUUUAUUAGAGACCAUGUGAUGAAAAAUGAUAUUAAGAUAGAAUUUGUGAAUACUUUACAUCAAUUAGCAGACAUUUUUACCAAACCUUUGAGUGAAGAUAAAUUUUGUGAGAUUAGAAGAAAUUUAGGGAUGAUUAGUGUGAAGGAAUUAUAAGAAAACCUUAAGCUCUCACAUAGAAAACAAACUGUUUUCAAUCAACUAAGGAUUUCUCAAUCAACUAAGAGUAGUCUAACAGCCUUAAAUAAUAAGACUUAGUGAGUUUUAGAGAAAGAAGAGUAAAAUAUGGGUUGACCGGGUCCAAAAGGAAUAAAGGAAAAACUGUCAAAGGUAAAUAACCAAAUUUUUAGAGGGAAGUUUGAAAUUAUAAAGAAAUGAAAUAGGGCAGCACUUAAAAGGAAGGUGAAGAGUUUUUUUUAUAAUAACUGUUGACUGCCUCUCUUUCUCUCUCCCUUGAAACCCGUUGCUCUAAAAACAAAAACUAAAUCUCCCUGUUUGCCUCUGAAACUGACUCAAACCCUCAGAAAUUUUUGCAACUAACAUGGUUAGAACAUCUCAGAGCAAAGAGAUAUCAGAAAAGAAGAAAGGGAAAAGGCUAAUGGAGGAAGAAUCAGAAACUAAAAAUGUGAAAAAGAAACUGAAAAUCAUGGCUAGUUCAAUAAAAGAUAUAUCCGAGAAACUUAGAGAAAAGAAGAAAAAACUGGCAAGAAAAAGGAAAUAAAGCCCUCACUCCACAAAGGUACCAGAUAUUCCUCUUCAAAAUUUAGGAAUAAGUUGCAUGAGUAUAGAUUCAAGAAUAUCAAGAAUGCACCAAUCUCUUGUGAAAAAUUCAUUGACUGGAAUAGUUUUAACAAAAAUGUAGAAAUCCAAACUAAUCUAUUUGAGUACUUUGAUGAACUAAAACUAAAAGGCUACAGCAUAUUUAAGAAUAGGUUUUCAGUCCAGGUUUGGUCAAAGAGUUUUAUUUUGGAAUUGCUUUGAAAGGAAAGGAAUUAAUAGAUUCUGAUGAUUAUGUAGAAGAUGGUUUGAAUGUUUAUCUAAAUGGAAAAGAGUUUGUUAUGAUUACUGAGGAUUUAAGGAACCUGUUGAAAAUGGAAGAUAAAAUCACUGAGUUGGAAAACAAGUUGAAGGAGAAGGAAAACAUGCCAUCUGAACCUGUGGCUGCAGAUAGCUCUGCCACAUUCAGCACUGCACCUACAUAAUAAGGUGCUGAAAAUUCAACUAAGUCAGUAGAAAAAUCUGCUCCUCAUGUUGGAAGUUCUAGCAUUUAGGCUGAAAGUUCCAUUUAUAAAUCUGUCUGUCCUACUCUACAAACUAAAGACUCUCCCAAAGGGGUUGAUCAACCAGCCAAGACAACUUCCCCUGAACCUCAAAGCAAAAAUGAUACAGAGACAAAGAAACACCAGGCCUCUCCUCCAAACUCAAAGGAAGUUUCCAUCAUGGAUAUCUUCCACCAAAUGGUUAAAGAGGGAGAAGCUGAGAAGGACACUGCUAGGACAAAAACUCAAAAAGAUGGUGAAGGUGUAGGAAAAGGAAAGAAAUCUGCAUCAGUUGCCAGAGUAAAGACAAAAGUAGGGAAAGCCAAAGCCACUGCAGCACCACCAACUAAGGCAAAACGACCAACCAAAGGCAAGAAGACUAUGGCAACCAAGACAGUUUUUCUCAAAAGAAGAAAGUCUUCUAAGUUGGCAGAGAAAUCCAGACCAAUUUCAGCCUCCUCUCCAAUCCCUGUCUCAGAUAAGUCCUUACUAGAACCUUCUCCAAAACAUUCAUUACCUCUCCGAGAGCUCUCUCAUUUUCCUAUUAACCCUUUCUACAACACUAAGUCCUCACCCUCUAACUCAUCAGAUGAAUAAAAGCCCAUCCCUUUUAUGCUGACAAAAAGGGGAGUAGAAUAGAAUGGGUACAGCAACUAGGAACCAAAGAAUAAAAAAAAAAUGUUAGGGUAGAGGAACCAGGAAGGAACCUAGGAAAGAAAAAAAAAAAAGACAGAAUCAAAGAUGUAUGAACUUAGAAAAAUAGGAGAUAUGAAGCAAAAAUAGUCCAAGGGCAGUUUCGAAACACUUGUUGGUUAACUAUUAUUUGUGCCAUGGUGGCACUUAAACACUCAGUUUUAAUUCUAUUAUUUAUAUGGUUGUAUGUGAAAAAUGAAUGCUGAUAUAACUAUGUUGCUUAAUUGCUAAAAAUUGAAGUCUGCUGAUAUUUUGGUAUUUUGAUUGUCAUGAACAAAAUUUGCUAGUGCCAUGUUGAUAUUGAUGCACAUGUUGAUAAAUGAUUUUUGUUAUGGCAUUGUGGAUAAUUUCUGUUUGAAAAUAGAUAUAAAUGGUAUGGAUAAUAUAUCAAUUGAGACAUGAAUGAUGUGAACAAAAUCUGAAAUCAAUAAAAUGUUGACAGCUGUUGGAACAUUGAUGAAAAUCUGUCAACACUUAAAGCUGAAAGUUUAAUGAUAAUAUGCCAAUACUUACUUGCUACAAAUCACUCUAUGUUGUUGAACAUAUGUAUACUCUAAAUAUACAAUAUCAUUUUCUAUAUGAUGAGAAUAAAAUUGGCUAAAAUAAAAUAAGCAAAAUAUGCACAUUAAGGGGGAGCUUAUACUUAGGGGGAGCAAUCCUCAGUUUUGCAAAAAACUAAAUUAAAAUGACACUAUGCUAUUAAUCAAGGAGUGUUUUGUCAUCAUCAAAAAAGGGGAGAUUGUUGGCUCCAUUAGUUUUUGAUGAUAAUAAAACAUUCCCAUUUUUGUGUGUCUAAUACCUUUACUUGAGUGUGCAGGAAAGUAAUUUGUGAAAUUAAUUUAUUGACUCUUCAAAGAGUAUUUUUGAAAGAAAAAGAGGGAUAAAAUAAACAAGAUGUAACUAAAUAACAAGGAGGAAGCUUAUUGGUGAAACAAGGAAGAACAUUGGUUGACCAAAUUUCAAAUUGGAGAAAUGGUGAGCUAAAGAGUUUGAGAAACAAAAUCAAUUUAGUCAACCAAGUCAGUCGACUAAGUGCUCUCUGCCAAAAUCUACAAACCAGAAACAGAACCAACUUAGUUAACCAAGUUAUUUGACUAAGAGCUCUCUGUCUGCAAGUUGAACCAGAGCACUAUAAGAGAGAUUAAUGGCUAAAACUCAUCCUCAAUUGUUUCCAACGGAUAUAAACUGCUAAACUGCCAUCAGAGUUGCAUCUCCAAGUAUAAAAGGGUCUUCCAACAAUAAAAAAGAAGUUUUUUGAAGCCUUGAAUGAGUUUUGAGCUAUAGAAAGAAGAAAACUCAGAAAAGCUUCACUGCACUUAAACGCCUACUCUUUGCAUUUGUAUUUAGCACUUAAUCUUGUACCAAUCAGAUCAACAAGUGAACAUAGGUACUUUUUUUUACUACUUCUCUUGUAUUCUUAGAGUGAGGGAGUUAUUCUAAGGGGUUGUUCAAGCUUGGGAUAGCUUGAUUGUUAAAGGUUGUGGUUGAGCCUUGAAAAACCACAUAGGGUUUUAGUUGAGCCCGUGAAAAACUAGUGUAAAAGGUUUUUGGCUAAGCUUGGUAAAAGCCAUUGUAAAGCUUGGUGAAAGCUUGUAAAUUUCACCGGUCCAUAGUGGAUUUGUGGGAAAAUCCUUGGUUGGAUAAUCUAGGUAGUGGAUGUAGGUCUUGGACCGAACCACUAUAAAUUGUUGUGCAUUGUAUACUCUGUUUUUAUGUUCUUUGUUCUGGAAAUUUGUUUCCAAUCUUGUCAAGAGUCGAUUUGUGCUAUUCACCCCCCUCUAGCACAUAUUAUAGGGACCAACAAUCAUCAUUUGGUAUCGCAUUGCCGGUGAACAUGCACAUGCCCAUCUGUCAGGCUCUAUUCUCAUAAGGUCAGCAUGAGCUCCCGCGUGAAUCUGGUUUAGCUAGUUCAUAUGUCUGUUGAAAUCGAAAACCUUAUAGCAAUCUCGAGCAAGGGUGAAAAUCAUACAAACGUCGUUACACUUGAACUUGUUUUUUAAAUUUUUGAAGUGGUAACCGCAUAAACCUUGGUGCACUUCUGGGUAUACAUUUUGGAUUACUUUCUUAAUGCCGAGAUGCUGAUCAGAAAUGAACAUAGUGUUUUCAGGACAACCAACCGCAUCACGCAGCUUACUAAGAAACCACGUCCAUGAGUCUUCGUCCUCAACAUGGCCGACGCCAAAUGCAACUGGAUAUACGCACUCGUUCGCAUCUUUGCAUAUAGUGACAAACAAAACACUCUUGAACCUGCCUUUCAGAUGUAUCGCAUCAAUUGCAACCGUAGGACGCAUUACAUCCCUAAACCCCUAAAUACAAGCCCUAUAUGACCAGAAAUAAUAUUUGAAUCUUUUUGCCUCAUCAGUAGCCACUGCAGUCACUGUGCCAAGAUUUUCUUGUUCCAACAUAUAAAAAUACGAGGGUAGUAGUUGAAAUGACUCUUUCGGUGGGUCGAAAACAAGCCUCUUUGAAUACUCCUUCACUUGCCAAGCCUUACCAUACAAGCAUUCCAAUCCCCACUGAACCCUCAUCUCACAAAUUAUGUCCUUAGGUCUUAAUGCUGCUCCAUUAGCCCGAAGCUUCUGUGACAUAAGUUCACCAAUUAUCUUCGCACUCGUAGUACAGGUGUGUACUUUAUGGAACGUCCGAACUUAUCAAUAUUCUCCUCUGUCAGGUAACUUCGUUGCACGCACACUGAACUUGCAUGCCUUGUCCUUGCAACCAACUUCGUAACUACCUUUACAUGACCUUUUUAUUUUUAUUGCAAACUUCUCUUUUAUAACCAACAUGUUCAAAGCUCGUUUCAACUCGGCCUUCGACGAAAGCAUUUUUCCUUUGUAUAAGUGAUCAUCGACAUAUGUCGGCUCCUUAGUGGAAAUUGUUUGGAAGGAGAACCUUUCUGCACUUGAAAUUAGCCACGUACGAGAUAUCCUUGCAUUUCCCCUUUCCUGAUAACUGUCAUCGAGCAAUGUAUCAAGAGAACGAAAUCUCGUUCUCACUAGUGAUGGGGUUAUUGUAUAUGGGGUCAUCACACUGAACAUUUCCUACAUCAACACCUCCAACAGGUUCUGUUUCACCUUCAACAUGUCACAACCCAAAGUCCGGGCUAUGACCGACGUAUGGGCCUAAUGGGCAUAGCCCACUAAGCCCAAGCAAGCCUAUUUAUGCAAUCCCGAUCAUCAUUCCAAACCAUCAUUUCUCAAACCCAUAUUGUAAUUCUCAACUAAAAAUAUUUCAAUAACACUUUAUAGUAACCUAAUACUCACAAUUGUAGUAUGCUAACAUAGUAUCACUCAUUUGCCACCUUUCAGUGGCUUCAGUAAUCAAAUAUACAUAUUUGAUUUUUAACAUGAAUCUUAGUGGUCUUCAUUACUUAUACAUGUAUACAAGCAUAAAACUCUUGACCAUCAGCGGAGUGACUCUAGGUGAAGAUACAACUACUGAGAUGCUAUAGUACCUACCAAGAAGGCGAGCAUACAUGGACAACUCAAUCUAGGUCCCAACUGCCUCUAAAUCUGAAAACAUGAAGUUUAAAAACGCGAGUAUAAAACUCAAUGAGUGAACAUAAGAAGGGAACAAACAAUCGAUAGGAAGAAUUUGAAAAUCAUGAUGCACUUGUUUCAAAAACAAUGCAAUCGAUUUAAUUUUAUCACUAAAAACACCUCUUUUCAAACUUUGAUUAAUAACCUCAUAGUAUUGCAAAAACCCAUGAUCAAUCCAUGAAGUUAAAUGGGUGAAAAAUAUGUCCAAAAUCAAGCAAGGUAGCAAGCAUGGCAGCAAGUUUCUCGCUGCAACGAGAAACAAUGUCAGUUUGCAUGUGUUUCAGUUUUUCUAGAGUAUCUCCCAUUAUAGAAGUCCAAUUGACCUGAUUUUUAAACCAUUAGAAACCUAAGAUGCAGGGAUACAACUUUUAUGUUUACCACUUUUCCCAUUUCAGAUAGGAAGAUGGUCAAAAUCUUUAUCGAAGUGAAAGCAUUAUACUAGAACCUGAGAGUUUCUCGCUGCAGUAAAAAUGAAUCUCACUGCAGCGAGAAACACAACAUUUUUAUUGAAAUGAGUCUUAUUACAUCAAAAGCCAUUUUCUUGUCGACAUGAAAAGCAAUUUAGGAGCAAUUAACAAUGCCAACACAUAAGACAAUCACAAUUAUUUUCAUAAACUUUCUAUAACAUAUAUAUAUAUAUAUAUUUGCAUAUACAUACUUCAUCAUGCAUACCAUCUCGCCACACUUAGCUCAUGUGCAUCCCCCCACAUCGUGCACAUAGCUAGAGUCAUCAUGUGCAUCCCCCACAUCGUGCACAAGCAAUAUCAUCGUGUGCGUCCCCCCACAUCGGGCACAAGUAAUAUCAUCAUCCACACUCCCAUACCCCGUCAUCACUGACAUGUGCAUCCCCCCACAUCGUGCACACGCACGGUUAUAAUUAUCACACAAUAUCAACUAUCAAUGCACAACAUAUAUAUAUACCAACAUAAUGUAGUGGUACAUGAAUCCAUAACAACCACAUGUCACAACAUAGAGACAAUUUAUUAAGGGUUUGUUCCCAUGCAUAAUUUAAUGAAAAGCCAAGUAAAAUCAUUUAAAUGCUUCAUCCCAAAACAUAUGUAUUUCCCAAAAACACUUUGAUGCAAGUUCACUCAUCAAUAUUUGUUGAAUCUUUAAUUGACUCUAACUUUGAUUAUUGCUUCAAAUGGACAUGUGAGGCCUCAUUGGAACCUAUUGUCACACACAACAUCACAACCAACCCAAAUUGGCAUUAAUAUAAUUCCAAAAGCUCUUUCGUAAAUCAAGUUCCACUAGUUAUUCCUAACUAGCUUCCAAUUGCCAUUAAAUGGCUAUCUAUUCUUUCUACUCUAGUAACUCUAGAAAUAAAUAAACAAACCUCAAUAAUAAAACAACUCACAACUUCAAUUACUAGCCAUUAUCAAUAACCUAAAAUCAAUCCUCAUUUAUUACUCACCUUGGUGGAUUUGUAGUUGAAUUCCUUCUUAAGAAUACUCAAGCUAUCAUAAAGAGUCUCUCUUUUUCUCUCUCUUUAAAAUUUUUAACUAGUGAGAGAAAGUGUUGAACAAAGACUUUUUAAAGGUUUUAAGGUGAGAAAGUGAAAGAGAACAAAAGGUUCCAUGAAAAAGUGCUUAAAUGCAUGAAAAUUGAAGCUAGAGAGAGAAAGUUAUGGAAGCUUUAUGGGAGGCUCCCAUGGAGAUGAAGAAACGUGAGAUGGGAAGGAAGAAGAAAUGGCUGGAAACUACUGGAAAUUGCUGGAGCUUUAGAUAUUUAUAUCUAAAGUUUAUCCAUUUCUCACUUAAAUUACCAAAAUGCCCUUAACGUGGUGACUUUGUCUUCCUCUCAUCCUUUGUGCAACCUUUUACUCUUUUGACACUAGGGCAAGGUCCAUAAUAGUCUAUAAAUACUCGAGUUCACGAAAACAUAAAAAUUUAGACUCGAGAUGCAAAAUGACCAUUUUGCCUUUACACAAAAAUUAUCAUUAUUUUUAUCUUUUUCAUUUAUUGACCAUCAUAAACAUCAUUUAUUCAUUCCUUAGGCUUAUUUAGACCUUAAUAGCAUCAAAAAAAAAACACCUACUCGUAGGAGCUCAUCAAGAAAAAUUACAAAAUUACCCCUAGUCCGUAUUAUCGCGUCUACUUCUAGUUAUGUGUUUAUGGAGGUGAGAUUUCACAGGUUCACUUUUGAAUUACCCUUUUUAACUCGGUAAUUAACCUCAAUUGUCAUCCAUAAACUUUAUUAGCCACCGUAUCAAAAUACGGGAUACUACACAACGUUAUUGUAAAUUAGAAUAUCACUGUCAUAAAGCCAGUCAUUGUCUGAACUGUCAUCAUGCCAUUGUUCAAGCCCAUCAUCUGAAUUGUCAUCAAAUCUAUCUUCACUGGCAACGAACAAAUCCUCAUUUCCCUCAUCAAAUGUAGAAUUAUCUUCCAACGUCGCAGUGUCACCCUCCAACCUCACAUUGUUGUCCUUAGGUGUCGUAUUCUCAUUUGACAAUGGCAUUACACACUCUAUAGUUUCACCCGAUCGUUGCAUUUGUUAGACAGAAGCAAGUGAUUGGUUCGAUGCACAUCUUGAUCGAAAUUGUACAGCCAACUGUUCUGUGAAUGUCGUCUGUCUACCAGGCUGCACAAACUCUUGUGCAUACCUCAAUUGCCAUUGUUAUGGGUUACGGACCGAAUGUUGUGGUAUAUGUGAAGCAUUGAAAAUCUCAUUUUGAUUGAGCUGAUUACCAUGUUCUUCAACUUCUUCAUGUGACAUAACAUUUGUUUGGCGUCCCUUAAUGCUGACAUACACAGUCGGAACAUUCCUCUGUUCUAGCAGAAUUAAUGCAACAUCCUCAUCGUCCUUGAUAAUUGGCCGUGAUAGCUUUCCGAGUAUACUGAUCAAUGCAUGUAACUCAAUCUCAUCAAUUUUUUUGUUUACCCCAACAACAUCUUCAACCAGCUUCAUCAAGCCCGCAAAUGACAAAUCACUCAUAAUCCCCCGCAUUCGUGACUCACCACCCAUGUAGAUGCCAUCCACCCACUGACCAUCGUGUCUUAUCACAAGUUGCCCAAUUGGAACCCCACUAAAAUUUUGAAAGAAUAAAAAAUUUGUCAAUCAUUUUACACAAUGCAUGCUGUGUUCAAAAUUUGUUGUAAAAUGAGGUAACAUGCAAUGCAUAUAAUGUAAAAUGUGGUAACACGCCAUGCAUAUAACGUAAAAUAUGGUAACACGCCAUGCAUAUAACCAAUGUCGUGACACACUAAAAUAACGUUAACACAUGUUAUAGAUGCAUGGCGUGUAACAACUCUGGGCAAUGUUUCUAAUCCAUGUUCUAAUUUACACCAAAUGUUUCAAAAAUUUAAGUGCGUUGCAGCAAUAAACCCAAUAACAGGUACCUUGAUGUCAUCUCUGCUAUAGGGUCUGUUAAUCUACGACAAUUUAGCCAGAUGUCGAGAGAUAGACUACAGCC